UACGGAGGAUGCGAGCGUUAUCCGGAUUUAUUGGGUUUAAAGGGUGCGCAGGCGGCGUGUCAAGCAAGCGGUAAAAUAGCGGGGCUCAACCCCGUCGAGCCGUUUGAACUGGCGCGCUUGAGUUCAGGCGAGGUAGGCGGAAUUCGUGGUGUAGCGGUGAAAUGCAUAGAUAUCGCGCAGAACUCCGAUUGCGAAGGCAGCAUGCCGGCUCCACACUGACGCUGAGGCACGAAAGCGUGGGUAUCGAACAGG
This 252-nucleotide ribosomal RNA is filed under the name uncultured Bacteroidales bacterium. Its description in RNAcentral is "partial 16S ribosomal RNA". It matches the Rfam family "Bacterial small subunit ribosomal RNA", at positions 524 to 776 of the family's 1533-position model. The record is from RNAcentral. Lineage: Bacteria; Pseudomonadati; Bacteroidota; Bacteroidia; Bacteroidales.